UUUUAUAGUAAGUAAUAUAAUUAAGGGACAAAAAUACUCCUAAUACCCAUACAUAAGGGACUAUCCAGGUUUAUUCCUCUCGGUGGCUUGAUUUUUCUGGUCACCCAAUAUUUUCCGGCAACACCUUCAAGUUGGAAGGAAAACACCGCAGAUUUUUAACACUCACAUCUAAAUCACACCGCAGCUUCAAAAUCCGUCAGUCUGUCACCGCACGUCUCAAUCUCUUUCUGCGGCGAAUUCCUCUGCUGAUAUCUUUUCCGGCGAAAUCGAGUUGUAAGUUUCUCUACUUGUCUCCUGAAUUAAUUUCUCGAGGAAAAAAAACACUUUUCUUACUGAUCCCGCUCAGGCAAAAAGUAUUUACCCCUUUUUUUAAACAAUUGUUACAGUAGAAUUCGGAAUGUGAAGUAGGCCACAAUGUUUUGUACAAAGGCGAUAAAUUUGUUACGGUCUUUAUGGAGUUACAGCACAGGUUGUUGACCAAAGUAAUUUUAUGGAAUGAUCGUGGAACUGGAACCUCAAGGUGACCUGACCAGUUGAAACAAUUUUUGUACUUCCAUUUUGCAACGGUUAAAUGUGAGUGAUUCCAAAGCUAAACAUGCUUAUUGUUGAUGAUUUUUUCGUACUUUGUUUGGCACAAUUACUAUUUCAG
Molecule: long non-coding RNA, 649 nt
Filed under: Nicotiana benthamiana
Lineage: Eukaryota; Viridiplantae; Streptophyta; Magnoliopsida; Solanales; Solanaceae
Description: long non-coding RNA (NBEN_LNC023135)
Source: RNAcentral